GGACUACUGGGGUAUCUAAUCCUGUUUGCUCCCCUUGCUUUCGCGCCUCAGCGUCAGUAUCAGCCCAGAAAACCGUCUUCACCACCGGUGUUCUUCCACAUAUCUACGCAUUUCACCGCUACACGUGGAAUUCCGUUUCCCCUAACUGAACUCUAGAUAGACAGUUUCAAAUGCAGCUCCGAGGUUGAGCCCCGGAAUUUCACAUCUGACUUUCCCAUCCGCCUACGCGCCCUUUACGCCCAGUAAUUCCGAUCAAUGCUUGCACCCUCCGUAUUACCGCGGCUGCUGGCAC
This 292-nucleotide ribosomal RNA is filed under the name uncultured bacterium. RNAcentral's name for it is "partial 16S ribosomal RNA". The record is from RNAcentral.